AACGAACGCUGGCGGCAGGCCUAACACAUGCAAGUCGAGCGCGCCCUUCGGGGUGAGCGGCGGACGGGUGAGUAACGCGUGGGAACGUGCCCUUCUCUGCGGAAUAGCUUCGGGAAACUGAAAGUAAUACCGCAUACGCCCUUUGGGGGUAAGAUCUAUUGGAGAAGGAUCGGCCCGCGUUGGAUUCGGUAGUUGGUGGGGUAAUGGCCCACCAAGCCGACGAUCCAUAGCUGGUUGGAGAGGAUGAUCAGCCACACUGGGGCUGCGACACGGCCCAGCCUCCUACGGAAGGCAGCAGUGGGGAAUCUUAGACAAUGGAGGCAGCCCUGAUCUAGCCAUGCCGCGUAAGUGAUGAAGGCCUUAGGGUUGUAAAGCUCUUUCAGCUGGGAAGAUAAUGACGGUACCAGCAGAAGAAGCCCCGGCUAACUCCGUG
Molecule: ribosomal RNA, 433 nt
Filed under: uncultured bacterium
Lineage: Bacteria
Description: partial 16S ribosomal RNA
Rfam family: Bacterial small subunit ribosomal RNA
Source: RNAcentral